ACAUGUUUGCUAUAAUGAUCUUGUAAGAAGUUACGACGGUGGCUUUAAAUUUAGGAGGUGGUUCUAUGUCCCACAUAGUCCAUUUUUCAGAAAGUAGAAGCCUUUUUGAGUGUGAGUGAUGCCUUGCAACUGAUGAUGGGAUUUGGCAUGUUUAUAGUUGCUUUAAUUUCUCUCAU
This 176-nucleotide small RNA is filed under the name Marinilactibacillus sp. 15R. RNAcentral's name for it is "Listeria sRNA rli28". It matches the Rfam family "Listeria sRNA rli28". Lineage: Bacteria; Bacillati; Bacillota; Bacilli; Lactobacillales; Carnobacteriaceae. The record is from Rfam by way of RNAcentral.